AGGAUGAACGCUGGCGGCGUGCCUAACACAUGCAAGUCGAACGUCCUGUCUCGCAAGAGGCAGGGAGUGGCGGACGGGUGAGUACCACGUGGGUCAUCUACCGUGAGGUGAGGAAUACCGGCGAGAAAUCGCCGACAAGACCGCAUAGGCUCGAUGCAAGUCGAGCAAAGCUCUUUCGAGAGAGGGAGCGCCACACGAGGAGCCUGCGCCCGAUUAGCUAGCUGGUGGAGUAACGGUUCACCAGGGCGACGAUCGGUAGCUGGUCUGAGAGGACGAUCAGCCACACUGGGAUUGAGAACGGCCCAGACUCCUACGGGGGGCAGCAGUGAGGAAUUUUCGUCAAUGGGGGCAACCCUGAACGAGCAACGCCGCGUGCAGGAAGAAGGUUUUCGGAUCGUAAACUGCUUUUCUCGGGGAAGAGAACGGACGGUACCCGAGGAAUCAGCCCGGCUAACUACGCGCCAGCAGCCGCGU
Molecule: ribosomal RNA, 474 nt
Filed under: uncultured bacterium
Lineage: Bacteria
Description: SSU rRNA
Rfam family: Bacterial small subunit ribosomal RNA
Source: RNAcentral